CCGAGUGCGGGCCCUCGUGGCCCUACCUCCCACCCUUGUCUUUAACACCCUGUUGCUUUGGCGGGCCCACUGGGUCCAUCCAGUCGCCGGGGGACGUUCGUCCCCGGGCCCGCGCCCGCCGAAGCGCCCUGUGAACCCUGAUGAAGAUGGGCUGUCUGAGUACUUUGAAAAUUGUCA
RNAcentral lists this unclassified non-coding RNA (177 nucleotides) under uncultured Penicillium. RNAcentral's name for it is "sequence contains ITS1". The record is from RNAcentral. Lineage: Eukaryota; Fungi; Ascomycota; Eurotiomycetes; Eurotiales; Aspergillaceae.